Molecule: long non-coding RNA, 718 nt
Filed under: Carica papaya (papaya)
Lineage: Eukaryota; Viridiplantae; Streptophyta; Magnoliopsida; Brassicales; Caricaceae
Description: long non-coding RNA (CPAP_LNC010660)
Source: RNAcentral
GAUAUAAAUAUGAAAAAUUAAAAAUAUGAAAUAUGAAGGUGUUUUAAACGGUCUUAGGGCCCGAAUAUAUAAAGGUUCACAUUAUAAUUAAUCGCAAAGGUUUUUCAUUCAAGGUGUUAAAUUCCCCCCACCUUAGAAAAUUUCAUCCCUAAAUUUAUCAUGAAUAGAUAUGGGAACUUCUCUCUCAUCUCGCUCUUCAACUCCCACGUUGUCUCUUCCGGAGUGUGGUGUUGCCACUAUACGAAGUCACCAUAGGAAUCAUCUUAUUACACAGAACCUUGUCAAUCAAAUAAAUGAUUUUUGCAGGGAGCUUUUCAUAUGUCAUAUAAGCUUGAACCUACAUCUCCUGGUGAGGAAUGAUGUGAAAAGGGUCAGCGUGGUACAUUUUGAGCAAGGAGACAAGAAAAACAUCAUGUAGACCUGCAAACUCUUAGGGUAGAGUAAGGCAGUACGCCAUGGGUCCAACACGUUCCACGAUUUGAAAAUGUCCCACAUAACAGGGGCUCAACUUUUCCUUCUUAUUGAAUCACAUUUUUCCCUUGUAAGGAAUAUCCUAAGGAAGUCUUGAUCGCCAAUUGUAAAUUCCAAGGGUCUUUUAUGGUUGUUAGCAUAGCUUUUUAGAAACUCUAAGGUGGCUAAGUUCCUUCGAAUGAUAAUAACUUUCUCAGUAGUCGCAUUAUGUGGGACCUUUUCGGAUCAUUGAGCACAUUGGACCUGU